UAGAGGAAGUAAAAGUCGUAACAAGGUCUCCGUUGGUGAACCAGCGGAGGGAUCAUUACUGAGUUUACGCUCUACAACCCUUUGUGAACAUACCUAUAACUGUUGCUUCGGCGGGUAGGGUCUCCGCGACCCUCCCGGCCUCCCGCCUCCGGGCGGGUCGGCGCCCGCCGGAGGAUAACCAAACUCUGAUUUAACGACGUUUCUUCUGAGUGGUACAAGCAAAUAAUCAAAACUUUUAACAACGGAUCUCUUGGUUCUGGCAUCGAUGAAGAACGCAGCGAAAUGCGAUAAGUAAUGUGAAUUGCAGAAUUCAGUGAAUCAUCGAAUCUUUGAACGCACAUUGCGCCCGCCAGCAUUCUGGCGGGCAUGCCUGUUCGAGCGUCAUUUCAACCCUCAAGCUCUGCUUGGUGUUGGGGCCCUACAGCCGAUGUAGGCCCUCAAAGGUAGUGGCGGACCCUCCCGGAGCCUCCUUUGCGUAGUAACUUUACGUCUCGCACUGGGAUCCGGAGGGACUCUUGCCGUAAAACCCCCCAAUUUUCCAAAGGUUGACCUCGGAUCAGGUAGGAAUACCCGCUGAACUUAAGCAUAU
RNAcentral lists this ribosomal RNA (589 nucleotides) under Colletotrichum gloeosporioides. RNAcentral's name for it is "eukaryotic LSU rRNA". The stretch from base 231 to 384 matches the Rfam family "5.8S ribosomal RNA". The record is from RNAcentral. Lineage: Eukaryota; Fungi; Ascomycota; Sordariomycetes; Glomerellales; Glomerellaceae.